RNAcentral lists this unclassified non-coding RNA (250 nucleotides) under uncultured Didymellaceae. Its description in RNAcentral is "sequence contains 5.8S rRNA gene". The record is from RNAcentral. Lineage: Eukaryota; Fungi; Ascomycota; Dothideomycetes; Pleosporales; Didymellaceae.
GAACGCACCUUGCGCCCUUUGGUAUUCCAUGGGGCAUGCCUGUUCGAGCGUCAUUUGUACCUUCAAGCCUUGCUUGGUGUUGGGUGUUUGUCUCGCCUCUGCGCGCAGACUCGCCUCAAAACAAUUGGCAGCCGGCGUAUUGAUUUCGGAGCGCAGUACAUCUCGCGCUUUGCACUCAUAACGACGACGUCCAAAAAGUACAUUUUUACACUCUUGACCUCGGAUCAGGUAGGGAUACCCGCUGAACUUA